RNAcentral lists this ribosomal RNA (250 nucleotides) under uncultured bacterium. Its description in RNAcentral is "partial 16S ribosomal RNA". It matches the Rfam family "Bacterial small subunit ribosomal RNA", at positions 524 to 773 of the family's 1533-position model. RNAcentral also lists the same sequence under 1 other name. The record is from RNAcentral.
UACGGAGGGUGCAAGCGUUAUCCGGAUUCAUUGGGCGUAAAGCGCGCGUAGGCGGCUUGUUAAGCGAGGAGUGAAAUCUGGGGGCUCAACCCGCAGCUUGCUUCUCGAACUGGCAGGCUUGAGUCUGGUAGAGGAAAGUGGAAUUCCUGGUGAAGCGGUGAAAUGCGCAGAUAUCAGGAGGAACACCAGUGGCGAAGGCGGCUUUCUGGGCCACGACUGACGCUGAGGCGCGAAAGCUAGGGGAGAACAG